This is a non-coding RNA of Melanomma pulvis-pyrius CBS 109.77, 89 nucleotides long. The record is from the annotation of a GenBank genome assembly. Lineage: Eukaryota; Fungi; Ascomycota; Dothideomycetes; Pleosporales; Melanommataceae.
GGUGGGAUGUUCGAGUGGUAGGAGGCUCGAUUCGGCAGGCCUCCAUGAUAAUUCUCGGACGGUCGUUGGUUCAAUUCCAACUCCCGUCU